RNAcentral lists this ribosomal RNA (468 nucleotides) under uncultured bacterium. Its description in RNAcentral is "partial 16S ribosomal RNA". It matches the Rfam family "Bacterial small subunit ribosomal RNA", at positions 28 to 507 of the family's 1533-position model. The record is from RNAcentral.
GACGAACGCUGGCGGCGUGCUUAACACAUGCAAGUCGAACGGAAAGGCCCUGCUUUUGUGGGGCGCUCGAGUGGCGAACGGGUGAGUAACACGUGAGUAACCUGCCCUUGACUUUGGGAUAACUUCAGGAAACUGGGGCUAAUACCGGAUAGGAGCUCCUGCUGCAUGGUGGGGGUUGGAAAGUUUCGGCGGUUGGGGAUGGACUCGCGGGUUAUCAGCUUGUUGGUGGGGUAGUGGUUUACCAAGGCUUUGACGGGUAGCCGGCCUGGGAGGGUGACCGGGGUCAUUGGGACUAAGGUACGGCCCAGAAUCCUACGGGAGGCAGCGGUGGAGAGUAUUGCACAAUGAGCGGAAGCCUGUUGCAGCGACGCCGCGUGCGGGAUGACGGCCUUCGGGUUAUAAACCGCUUUCGCCUGUAACGAAGCGUGAGUGACGGUAAUGGGUAAAGAAGCACCGGCUAACUACGUG